CGGGACUACGCGGGUAUCUAAGCCUGUUUGCUCCCCACCCUUUCGCUCCUCAGCGUCAGUUACGGCCCAGAGAUCUGCCUUCGCCAUCGGUGUUCCUCCUGAUAUCUGCGCAUUCCACCGCUACACCAGGAAUUCCAAUCUCCCCUACCGCACUCUAGUCUGCCCGUACCCACUGCAGGCCCGAGGUUGAGCCUCGGGAUUUCACAGCAGACGCGACAAACCGCCUACGAGCUCUUUACGCCCAAUAAUUCCGGAUAACGCUUGCGCCCUACGUAUUACCGCGGCUGCUGGCACGUAGUUAGCCGGCGCUUUUUCUGCAGGUACCGUCACUUUCGCUUCUUCCCUGCUAAAAGAGGUUUACAACCCGAAGGCCGUCAUCCCUCACGCGGCGUUGCUGCAU
Molecule: unclassified non-coding RNA, 400 nt
Filed under: uncultured Microbacteriaceae bacterium
Lineage: Bacteria; Bacillati; Actinomycetota; Actinomycetes; Micrococcales; Microbacteriaceae
Description: contains 16S-23S intergenic spacer region
Source: RNAcentral